Molecule: long non-coding RNA, 22393 nt
Filed under: Manihot esculenta (cassava)
Lineage: Eukaryota; Viridiplantae; Streptophyta; Magnoliopsida; Malpighiales; Euphorbiaceae
Description: long non-coding RNA (MESC_LNC005392)
Source: RNAcentral
GGAGUUUGAAAUUGAUUUGAUUAAUAAACUACUAAAAGCAAUUAAAAUAAACGAAUAAUAAAAUAAAAGAGAAAUAAAUAAUAAGAAAGCUCUAGUUGAAGUAUUGGAUCCACUUUAGUCAUUGGGAUUGAUCACAGACACUUUGUUCUUUUGGGUUGAUUCAAUAGAUUAGUUAUGGGGAUGGAAGACGCUUCUCACCACCAUUAUCUCUCCUUAUGAUUAAACUAAUUAGGGAACGUCUUCUAAUUAAUUACUAAUUAACAAAUUGCCAAGGAACGUCCUUGGGCCUUAGGCAUUAAAACAAUUGUCAAUUGCAUUAAGAAAUAGAGAGAUCCAAUCCUAACUAUCCAAACGUAUGGAGAUAACGCUAGAUCAUGCAAUUUCCUUGGGUUUGAUCCCAAGUGUUCUCAUGUAAGAAUAAUCCAAGCAAUUACGGACUUAAAUUAUACCACCCAUCUGACGGCUUCUACAUCACCCAAUCAGACAUCAUCCUCCGCCAGAAUCGACCUUUCUGGCAGCUUCUCUUCUUCCGCUUCCCAGCUUGCCUACCAUCGGGCCGGUCCACGGAAACAAAUCUUUUUUGAUCCCAGUAGUACUCGGGCAGCCAUUGUUACCUGCGGAGGACUUUGCCCUGGGAUGAAUACGGUGAUCAGGGAGCUGGUGGUUGGGUUGUGGGAGCUAUAUGGGGUGCGUCAGAUAUAUGGGGUGGUUUCUGGGUACAGAGGUUUUUAUUCAAGAGAACCGAUUGAGCUGAAUCCGAAGCUUGUCCAUAACUGGCAUAAGAGAGGUGGAACAACUCUGCAGACGUCCAGGGGUGGCUUUGAUCUCAAUAAGAUUGUUGAUGCCAUUCAAAAUCGGGGAUUUAAUCAGGUUGGCUUCUACUUCUGGAGCUCUUUUUAAUUCAACAAGCUAUGUGAUUUAUGAUAAGAGCCUUUAAGAAAUUUAGAACAGAAGCAUUUGUCUGCUAUAACCUUUGCCUUCUUGUUAUAGUUGAUAACAGCGCUAUGAAAAACAAUGGCAAAAAAAAUUCUAAAUAUUUGGUGUAAUUUGUUUGGUCAAAGAUAAUAUUUUAAACUUUAUAUAUUAAUAUUUCAAUAAUGUCAAGUGAUAUGUGUCUAUCAUACGACAGAGAUGUUGCCAGAAGCAGACAAUAACGAUAGUAUUGGUCUUAAAAUCAAUGUUGAAUGGUUUGACAACUUGCAUUCUUGCAUUAAGGUGAUUGAAAUUAAGCAAACCUCUUAAGUCGACUUCUUUCGAAAUUUUUUAUUCAAAACAAGGGCAUAAUGGUUAAAUUUUGACCACUGAAAGCAGUUUUCUCGCCAUCCAUGAAUGUAAUUAAUUAAUUUGCCUUUAGAAAAGAAAAACCGGAAAGGCUGAAAGUGUAGUUUACUUAUUCAAUGGUUGCAAUUCUGCAAUAUACAUCAAUCUAAACUAUGCUCUUGAUGAGCAAUAAUUGAUAUAUACUUAGCAAGUCUAGUUUAUGACUUUGUAAUUAUGAAACUAUUCCAGUUGGGGUCUUUUCUUAUGGCUGUAUUAAUACAAAUGAACAGGUCUACAUCAUUGGCGGGGAUGGAACAAUGCGUGGGGCAGUAAAGAUAUUUGAUGAAAUUCGUCGCCGGAAACUGAACAUUGGAGUUGCUGGAAUUCCCAAAACUGUCGACAAUGAUGUAGGCAUUAUUGACAGAUCCUUUGGAUUCCAGACAGCUGUGGAGAUGGCUCAACAAGCAAUCAAUGCAGCUCAUGUUGAGGCCGAGAGUGCAGUAAAUGGGAUCGGCCUAGUGAAGCUAAUGGGUCGAAGCACAGGCCACAUAGCACUCCAUGCGACUCUGAGCAGCCGUGAUGUCGACUGCUGUUUAAUUCCUGAAACAGAAUUUUACUUGGAAGGAAAAGGAGGGCUGUUUGAAUAUCUCGAAAAGAGUCUCAAAGAAAACGGCCAUGCAGUGCUGGUCGUUGCCGAGGGGGCAGGACAGGAUAUAAUCCCAAGAACUGAAGCCCAGAAACAACAGAGGGAUGAAUCAGGUAAUCCAGGUUUCUUAGAUGUUGGUCUGUGGUUGAAAUCAGAGCUCAAGAACUGGUGGUCUGGAGACCACCCGAAUGAUUUAUUCACGAUGAAGUAUAUCGAUCCCACGUACAUGAUCCGUGCAAUCCCUGCAAAUGCCACAGACAGUCUGUAUUGUACACUUCUUGCACAUUCAGCUAUUCAUGGGGUUAUGGCAGGAUACACUGGAUUUGUAUAUAUAUAUGUGAUAUACUCUGAAAAGAACAGAGAAAAGCUUCAAUUUUUGUAGGUGAAGAUGCUGAACUGGGAGUCAUUCUAUGAAAAAUAAUAAUAGAAGAUGCUUAAAAGAAAAAGAAAGGUAUCUUUAAUUUAAAGGAAUGAACAUAUAUAAUCCAUAAAGUUGUUUGGCUGGGAGAAUUUGCUAAGGAUAUUGCUGUUUGACACUCGCAUUUAAAGAAAGAAAAUAAAAAGGAAAAGAGAAAAGGAUGGCUAAGCUCUAUUAGCUUUGACAAAGAUGGUGACUCAAGAGAGUCCAAAAACAAAGCGUCUACUUUUGCAAAACGGAGUCAUUUUAUGGUGGAACCGGGAUUCCAUAUAUGUUUAAUUAUAUGAGAUGGCAAUACAAGUGUAACAACUAAGCUAAAAAAACCCUUACAAUUUAAAAAAUAAAUCAAUUUAAAAACAUUAAUAUAACUAAUUUUAUGGAAUUGAUUAUUUAUUAUUUAAAAAAAAAUGAAUUAUAUAAUAUGAAUGGUAAGUGUAUUUGAAUAAAUUUAAAAAAUUUCAGAUUUUAAUCUUUUAAUAUUUAUUUUAAAAAAAUUAAAAAUGAUAAAUUUUAUUUUUUUUAAUUUAAAUUUAUUUUUAAAUUAUUAGUAAAAAAAUAAAUAGCUGUAAAGCUAAAUAAAUUGAAUAAAAGUAUUAUUUAGUUUUUUAAUAAUAAUUUAGUAGCAAGUUUAUAUUGGAAAUUGAAGUUCUAUUUUUUUAAUUUUAAUUUUCAUUUAAAAAAAGAUAGGUUAAAAAUGAUAAAUUUUAUUUUUUUAAUUUAAAUUAUACUUUUAAAUUAUUUGUAAAAAAAUAAACAGCUCUAAAGCUAAAUAAAUUGAAUAAAAGUAUUAUUUAGUUUUUUAAUAAUAAUUUAGUAGCAAGUUUAUAUUAAAAAUUAAAAUUUGGUAUUUUUUUUGCUGUAUAAUGUAAAGCUAAAUUUAGUCUUUUAAUUAGUAUUAUUUGUCAUUCAUUAUAAAUUUAUUAUUUUAUAUAAAUAAGUAUAAAUGAAAUUUUAAUUUUUGAAUUUAAUAUGAUUAACGAAUUGAAUUCUAUAUUUUUAAAAUUAAAUUUGUGUUUAUAAUAUUUUAUUUAAUUAAUUUUUAACACUUUUUAUUCUUCAAUUUCCAUUCAUUAAAAUACUUCACUACUUAUAAUUAGGGCUGUGCAAUGGGUCGGUUCGGUUUCGAACCGAACCGAACCGAUAAAACCGAAAACCGAUUUGUUAAAAUUUAUAAAAUCGAAAAAACCGAUUAUAAAUGUAUAACCAAACCGAAUCGAACCGAUAAAAAUCGGUUCGGUUCGAUUCGGUUCAAACCGAAAUCUGUAUUUUUUUUUUAAUUUUUUAUUUCUAAUUUCAACAAAAUAAUUUAAUAAAUAUUCUAUUAAAAACCACGGCCACCCAGAAGUCGUAACAGAGAUAUGAAUCAAAAUCCAGAUGAGAGAAAUUCGCAACCCAGAUGAGAGAAAUGAAGUAUAUGCGGAAAAUUGUAUAAAUUUGGAUAUAUAUUACCUCUUCUUCACCGUCUUCAUCCUCGUCAUCGUUUUCCUCCUCGUCGUCGUCGUCAUCGUCAGCGUCGUCUCCGCCUUCACCAUCGUCAUCCUCGUUGUCGUCGUCCUCGUCGUCAUCCGCCGACUGAACCGGUGGCCCUCUGGAGGAUUGUAAGACCUGAACCUCGUCGUCUUCGUCGUCCUCGCCCCCUCAUCAUCGUCUUCGUCGUCGUCAUCUUCGUCACCGUCGUCGUCCUCGUCGCCAUCUUCUUCUUCCUCUUCCUCUUUAGAUUCUACACCUUCCUCUGUUUCACAGUCGUCUCGCAGAAAGAGUAAAGAUUGCAAAUUUCAGAGGUUAAUAAGCAAGUUCAGCUUUUAGCUGUAAAACAGAGGAAGCCGAAGAGGAGUCAAAGAGGAAACGAAGAGUGUUUUGCCAGUCCUCAGCCGCUGUGCAGAUCGACAUGAAAGAGAAAGAGAUUAAUGAGAUUUGAUGAUUGAUUUGUUAAGGAUUCGGAUUCGACUAUGAGAGUGUGGAGAGCCCAGGGGAGGAAUCGAGAUUCGGGAGAAUAGGGGUGGGGGAAUCGGGAGAUUGGAGAAUGUGGAAAAUGGGAUGGAGGGGUUCGGCGAAAGGUAUGGAGGGGGUUGGGGUGCUGGCCUGCUGGGUUGGGUUGGGUUGGGUUGGGUACGAUAGGCCAGCACCCCAACCCCCUGGGUUGGUUUGGGUUGGUUUGGGUUCGGUUUUUCGGUUUGAUCGGUUAUUUAACAUGUUUAAACCGAACCGAAUAGAAAACCGAAUAAUUUUAAAUCUACUAACCGAACCAAACCGAUCUUUCCGACUAACCGAACCGAUAAACCAAAUUUAAUCGGUUCGGUUCGAUUUUUCGGUUUAGACCGAGAAUUGCUCAGCCCUGCUUAUAAUUUUAAAAUUUUCAAAAAAUACUAAUUUUUAGCUAUUUUUAAGUGAUACCAAGUAAUUUUUAAAUAGGAUAUAAACUUUUAUAAAAAGUAUUGUAAGAAGAAAUUGUACUUUUAAAAAGAAAUUUGAUUAUCCAUUGAUUUUGAAUUAAUAUUUAUAAUUGGAUUGAAAAACUAUAAUUUUUUUAUGAAUUAAAUAUAAAAAUAUUUAAAGAUUUAGUUUUAAAAAUAUAAAAACUGAUCCGUCAAUUAUACUAAAAUUUAGAGAUCAAAAUGUAGUUUAUAAAAUAUAAACUUCUCAGCUAUAUAGAUAAGAUUUAAGUGUUCCUGAGGGUAUUUUGGAUAUUUGAAAUAUUUAUUAUUUGUUUGAUCUAUUGAUUAACGAAAUUAUAGAUAAAAAAACUUUCAAUUUAGACAAAUUGAUUAUAUAGAAAUUUAAUUGUUUGAUUUAGAAAUAAAGGGACCGAUAUAUUAAUUAUAUUAAAAUUCAAGAAUUAAAGUAUAAUUUAUCAUAUAAAUAAGUAUAUAUGAAAUCACACUGAUAUAAUAUAAUUUCUCUUGCAGAAUGUGGCGGACUAGCCAAAUUAUAGGAUUUGUUUGUCAGCUUUUGUGGUAAUAGCUUCACUUAAUAAGUAGGAUUUGAUAUUAUAUUAGAAGUCUAAUGUAACGACCCCAAAAUGGACCGUCACCGGCGCUAGGAUUCAGGUCGGCUUAAGGCCGCCAGAACCCAUAGCAAGCCUGCUAUACUCUCUGUGUACCUGUAAAUCUCAUACAUGAUCAUACAUUUUCUGUGAAAAUAAAAACUCUUUUCUGAACCAAGGCUUAACCUGUGCAUGCAUUAUCUCUGUACUCUGUACUCUGUACUCUGUACUCUGUACUCCUGACUAGAACUUGCUCUAGAUGGGUUAUCUCAUACCUGUUAAGCCUGGUUUUUCACAUACUCUGUAAAGCAUAUACAUACUAGAUCAUGUACAUAACAAAAGAUUACAACACAAACCACUAAGUCAAGCACAACUGUAACUGAUUACACAACUAGUACAUCUCUUUAAUAUUACAUGUCCACUCUAAGCUAUUACAUAUCUCUUUUCUCUUUUUGUACUCUUCUGGAUUCCCCCUCUGUACACUGUACACUGAACCUGCAAGACCGGGGUUAAGGGAGUGGGAUGAGCUCUAUAGCCCAGUGAGUAGAACAGUAAAACAUAUCGUUUAACACAUGAUCUUAUGAAAUGCAUCAUAACACAGACAAUCCACAUCAAGGAUAAACCUAUCACCACAUAGUCUCAAUAACACUGUCGUGCCAGGGCGUAGAAUCGAGCACCUGGUCUUCCUGUCAUAUAUGUAUACGUGUAUAUAACACCUGUACUUACCAUUGCCAGGGCGUAGUCAAAGGCUCCUGGUCUUUACUAUACCUGCCAGGGCGUAGUCAAAGGCUCCUGGUCUUAGCUAUACCUAUCAGGGCGUAGUCAAAGGCUCCUGGUCUUAACUCAGAGACUAUUGGAUCAUUCAACAUUCACCCACAUCAACAAUUAACUAUGCAAUGCAACAUAUUCAUGGAUUCUAAUGCAAUCAACCUAUUGCAUAAUCAUGAUGCAUGAGAUAUGCUAAAAAUAUUCCAUUGCUCAAUUAAAAGAAUUAAGUUUAGUUCCACUCACAUCUGGCUAUCUAGACUGACUGACUCUGCAGGCUUUGUAAACUCUGGAGCAGUACUCACUGCUGCUCUCUCUGGUUCCUCUGGUCUGUGCCUACACAGAUGGACUCAAAUGAGGGACCAAACUAGCUUAAGAAUAACUCUAUUAAACUCCCCAAGAAUCCCCUUAAACUCACUCAAACAUUCAUACAAAACAUGCAAAGGAAAGCUGGACAGAACACUUUCGGCGGCAGGUUCGGCGGCCGAAAGUCCUCUCCAGAGACGAAACUCAAGCACCUUCGGGGGCUAGUUUCGGGGGCUGAAAGGCACUCCAGAGACCAAAGUCUCUAACCUUCGGCGGCCGAACUCCCCUCCAGAGCCGAAAGUCCAAAAGCUCGGGGGCAAGCUUGGGCAGCCGAAGUCACCUCCUCAGGGGUUCGACGGCCGAAUGUUCCUUCGGCUGCCGAACCUGAGUUCAUCAGCAGGGCAGAAACUUGCCCUGCCUCUCGCCAAAUGCACAAAACUCCUCUAAACUCAAACACCUCACUUCCUCAACUUGCAUACACCUAAGUAUAUGCUCAAAGAGGUCAAAAACUACCUAAAAACCCCAACAACACAAAACACAUAACACAUAAACAAGCUUUUCUCACAAAAUCAUUAAAAACUCUCUUUUUAACCUAUUCAUGCAACUCUCUCCAUAAACCCCUUAAAACCAUUAUAAAUCAUAAAAACAAGUUCUGGAUCAUCACUUACCUUUUGAAAUUAAGUAGAUGAAUGAUCCUAACGUGGAGUUUUGAAGCAACUCUCCUUCAAACUCUCCAAAAUUCACAACUUUGUGUUUUUAGCUCAAAACCUUCAAAAUAACAUAAAACUCAAUCAAAUCUUUGCAAGAUUGGAUGAAAACAUGAAAGAAUGCUAAAAAAGGACAGAGUCUCACCUCAGCAAGUGAAAGAAACGGCGAAGUUUAUCCUUUCAACCGACUGAGGGCCGUUUUUAUAGGUGGCUGGCCAGACCACCUUCGGCGGCCACACGUGAAACCGAAAGCCAUGCAUGUUCGGCGGCCGAACCUCACCUUCGGCAGCCGAACCUGGCUUUUCUGCCUUAGUUCAUUUCUCUUAAAAACUCAUUGCAUUUUCACUUAAACCAUUAAAACAUACUAUAUUAUUUUAGAAAAACAUAAAUCUUACCCUUCUAGAGCAUUCCGACAUCCCGGAUUCCACCGGACGACAGGAAUUCCGAUGCCGGACUCUAACCGGGUAUUACAUUCUCCUCCCCUUAAGAACAUUCGUCCUCGGAUGUUCCUAAAACAAACAAUAAACACAUAAAAAGGAGGUAACUAACCUUAAAACAGAUAUGGAUACUGCUGAGCAUAAACUCCCGCGUCUCCCAGGUGCACUCUUCCAGAUUAUGGUGGUUCCACAGGACUUUCACCAUCGGAAUCUCCUUAUUCCUUAGCUGCCUGAUCUGUGUGUCCAGAAUCCGUACUGGCUGCUCUAUAUAAGUGAGAUCCCCUAGAAUCUCUACAUCAGGCUCACUAAUAACCUGACCCGAAUCUGAUACAAAUUUCCGUAGCAUAGAAACAUGAAAUACCGGGUGAAUCCUCUCCAUAGACAUGGGUAAAUCUAGCUUAUAUGAUACAUUUCCAAUCCUCUAUAAAAUCUCAAUACAUUGGAGCUAACUUACCCUUCUUCCCAAAAUGAACCACUCCUUUCAUUGGAGACACCUUCAGCAAUACCCAAUCACCCUCCUGGAACUCUAACAGUUUCCUAUGAAUGUCUGUAUAGCUUUUCUGUCUGCUCUGAGCAGUUCUGAUCCUUUCUCUAAUCACUGGCACUGUUCUACUAGUAAUCUCUACUAACUCUGGCCCUGCAAGAGUCUUCUCUCCUACCUCUUCCCAGCAAAUAGGUGAUCUGCAUUUCCUCCCAUAUAAUGCUUCAUAAGGAGCCAUCCCGAUGCUAGCAUGAUGACUGUUAUUGUAGGCAAACUCCACCAAAGGAAGAUGCUGUCUCCAAGAACCGCCAAAGUCUAACACACACAUUCGGAGCAUAUCCUCUAUGGUCUGGAUGGUCCUCUCUGACUGUCCAUCAGUCUGUGGGUGGAAAGCAGUGCUAAAAUCCAAUCUUGUGCCCAUUGCACUCUGCAGACUUCGCCAAAAUCUGGAGGUGAACUGAGGUCCUCUGUCUGAAACUAUAGACACUGGGACUCCAUGUAAUCUCACUAUCUCAUCCAGAUAAACCUGUGCCAACUUAUCCACAGAAUAGUUACUCCUAACUGGAAUGAAAUGAGCAGAUUUCGUGAGUCUAUCCACAAUCACCCAUAUAGAGUCUAUCCUGUUGGACGUUACCGGUAAGCCCACUACAAAAUCCAUAGCUAUGUUCUCCCAUUUCCAUUCUGGAAUCGGCAGUGGGUUAAGCAUUCCAGCCGACUUCUGAUGUUCUAAUUUCACCCUCUGACAAACCUCACAGGCUGUCACGAACUGCGCCACUUCUUUUUUCAUGGCUGGCCACCAAUACACUUUCUUUAGAUCUUGAUACAUUUUGGUGGCACCUGGGUGAACACUAUAUCUCGCACUAUGAGCUUCCCUCAUAAUGUCUUCUUUCAAACUGCUAACAUCUGGUACACAAAGUCGACUCCCAUAGCGAAGGAUCCCUUGGCUGUCAAACCUGAACUCUGCAUUGUUGCCUGACUGAACAGUCCUGGCAAUUUUCAUCAACUCAGGGUCCUCAUGCUGUCUCUGAGCUAUUUGCUCCAGAAACACUGGUGUCACUCUCAUCUGUGCUAUCAACGCACCUGUACCAGACAAUUCUAGUUGUAACCCUUCUUCAAUGAGCUUAUAAAGCUCCAUCACUACUGGUCUCCGCUCUGCUACUAUAUGGGAUAAACUGCCUAGUGACUUCCGGCUUAGGGCGUCUGCCACAACAUUCGCCUUACCCGGAUGAUACUGGAUCUUACAAUCAUAAUCACUGAGCAAUUCUACCCAUCUUCUCUGCCUCAAAUUCAGCUCUCUCUGACUCAAAAUGUACUGUAGACUCUUGUGAUUAGUAAAGAUCUCGCAUUUAACCCCAUAGAGGUAAUGCCUCCACAUCUUGAGUGCAAAGAUAACUGCUGCCAUCUCUAGGUCAUGGGUGGGGUAAUUCAACUCGUGCUUCUUCAACUGUCUAGAAGCAUAAGCAAUCACCCUAUCACUCUGCAUCAAAACACAACCCAAUCCCACUCGCGAUGCAUCACAGAACACUGUGAAAUCCUCGUUACUAACAGGCAGAGCUAGCACUGGUGCUGUUGUCAAUCUCCUCUUGAGCUCUUCAAAGCUCUCUUCACACUGGUUUGACCAAAUAAAAUUCUGGUUCUUCUGAGUUAGUUUGGUCAUAGGAGCCGCUAUCUUCGAGAAGUCCUGUAUGAACCUCCUGUAGUAACCUGCCAGUCCCAGAAAGCUUUUAAUCUCAGUCACUGUAGUGGGUCUGGACCAGUUGGCUACAGCCUCAAUCUUCUUGGGGUCUACCUCAAUCCCUUCUGCUGAUACUACAUGUCCCAAGAAGGAAAUGCUCCUCAACCAAAACUCACACUUAGAGAACUUGGCAUAUAAACCAUGCUCUCUCAGUGUCUGCAGAACUAUCCUCAGAUGCUGGGCAUGCUCCUCUGCAUCUCUGGAAUACACUAAGAUGUCAUCGAUAAAGACAAUAACAAAGUGAUCCAGAUACUCGCUGAAAACUCUGUUCAUGAGAUCCAUAAAUGCUGCAGGGGCAUUAGUUAACCCGAACGGCAUCACUAAGAACUCAGAAUGCCCAUAUCUGGUCCUAAAAGCUGUCUUAGGCACAUCUGCCUCUCUGACUCUUAACUGAUGAUACCCGAAUCUUAGAUCUAUUUUAGAAAAAUAACCUGCUCCAGCUAACUGGUCGAAUAGAUCAUCAAUCCUAAGUAAAGGGUACCUAUUCUUGGUAGUGACCUUGUUCAACUGUCUGUAGUCGAUACAAAGUCUGAGGGAUCCAUCCUUCUUUCUGACAAAGAGCACUGGAGCACCCCAAGGUGAGGUACUAGGGCGGAUGAAACCCUUAUCUACCAAAUCCUGCAACUGUUCUUUCAACUCUUUUAACUCUGCUGGUGCCAUCCUGUAGGGAGGAAUAGAGAUAGGUCUGGUACCAGGCAACAACUCAAUUUCAAACUCUAUCUCCCUAUCAGGUGGUAGUCCUGUCAAGUUAUAUGGGAACACAUCUGGAAACUCUCGGACUACUGGUAUCGAGGCUGGUUCCCUAACCUAAUUGUCUAGCUCCCUCACAUGAGCUAGAAACCCCUGACAACCCCUCCUAAGCAAACGACGAGCCUGAAGGGCUGAAAUCAGACCUCUGGGUGUACCUCUCCUAUCUCCUCUGAAGACACACUCUGACCCAUCCUGGUCUCUGAGACUAACUAUCUUGUCUCUACAGUCCAAGGUAGCACCAUAUGUAGAUAGCCAAUCCAUCCCUAGAAUGACGUCAAAAUCUGUCAAAUCUAGAACCACAAGGUCAGUUGGAAGGCGUCUACCCUCUAUGAACACUGGACUGAAACGACAGACUGACACUGCCACUGAUGGGUCACACUUGGGUCCACUGACCCAGAGAGGAUACUCUAACUCAGAACUGAUCAAACCCAAUCUCUCUAUGGCUCUCGAAGCAAUAAAGGAAUGAGAAGCACCGGGGUCCAUCAAAACAUACACAUCUGAACACCCAAUGAUGAGAUUACCUGACACCACAGUGUUCAACGUGUUAACCUCCUCCCGAGUCACAGUGAAAAUCCGUGCUGGGGCUACCGGAUUUCCACCUCGGGAACCUACUGCUGAAGUAGAGGCUGCCCCUCUCCCUCUACCUCUGCCACUACUCUAAGGCAUGGCUGGAGCUGCUAGCUGCCCUAUUGGCUGUACAACACUGCCUGAACUCAUCUGCUGGGAUGGUGCCACAAAAGUCACCUGAAGACAAUCCCGAGCAAAAUGCCCUUCCUGUCCACAUCUAAAACAAGCUGAAGAUCCCAAUUGACAAGCUCCCCUGUGGGGUCUCCCACAUCUUCUGCACACUAGACUAGCUGUGCCAGAGCUCGAACCACUACCCAUUCCCAGACUAGACUUGGCUCUACUCCAGAACUUGUUCUUUAAUCCUUUCGCUCUAUCCCAUCUCUUGUUGCCUGAAGUUCCUGAACUGGGGGCCUUAGAACCCGAAGCCUGUGCCUUUGACUGUCUCUGAAUAUUGGCACUUGCUUCCAUUUUCCUGGCUGCGUCCACUAUAGAGUGGAAACUCUCCUUUUCUGCUGGAAGGAUCAAGGAAGAAUACCUGGGAUGAAGUCUCAUGGUAUAUCUCCUUGCUUUCUUCUGAUCAGUAUCAUAGGCCUGACCCACGUACUGAAGCAAAUCCAGGAACUUAUCUGUAAACUCGUCAACGCUCAUUUCAUCUGUUUGUCUCAGCUGUUCAAACUCUAUUACCUUCAUCUCCCUAGAGCUAUCAGGAAAAGCCCACCCUGCAAACUCAUUGGCGAACUCUCCCCACGACAUACUGUUCAUCCUGGGCUCCACAUAAUUCUUGAACCAUUCCCGAGCUUUCUUACACUUUAGUGUAAACCCCGCCAUCUCAAUGGCUCUGCUAUCAUCUGCACCCAACUCAUCAAUGAUCAUCUUCACAGUUCUCAGGUAUUCAAAUGGAUCAUCUCCUGUAUUGAACUUAGGAGCAUCCAAUUUCAGGUACUCAGUCAUUUUCACCUUACUUUCAGAUGCACUAGGUGGAGGUGUUUGGGCAACAGGGGCUACUGGUUCUGUUUGUGGUGGUGGGGGUACUGGUUCAUUUAGUUCUGGGUGUGCUGCACUUGGAUGGGUAGGGGAGGAUGGAUACAUGGAGUAUGGUGGGUAAUAGUGAGGAUAUGGCAUAUAUGUAGGAUAUGGGACAAAACGAGAGUACUCCGACAUACCCUCCAUCGGAUACUCUGGAUCCUAGGAAAAGGCUGGAUAGCCAAAACCUGAGGCCUGAGUGCCUCCCUGGGACUCUCCCAUACCUUCAUCCAUAGACGGGUCAGUCUCCAUGGCCUCCCUCACCUCCUCUGAUCUUCCUCCUCUAACUGUCCCUCUUUUGCUCUCGUCUACAGACCUUCUAGGGUCUAUUGACGUACCUUCCCUGCUAGAUCUUUAUGACCUUGCCCUCGGCAAUGUAGGAGGACAAGCAGCUAUUCUCUCACUAUCUGAUGGGACUUCAGUCAAUCGAGCUGAUCGACGAGUUCCUCGCAUUUUAACUCUGGAAAAUAACACAUAACAUAGCACAUCAGCAUAUAAUCAACUCAUAUAACUCAAUAAUGCACAUGCAUAUCAUGGCAUUGCAGGCAGUUCAUAACAUCAAAUAGACAGGACUCAAUAUCCUAUCCUAGUGGACAUGAUUCCCUAUUGUGCUUGACCAACUGUAACCUCUAUGAGCCCGACACUCUCUCUAUAGGUCCGAUCACAGGAACCUAGGGCUCUGAUACCAAUCUAUAACGACCCCAAAAUGGACCGUCACCGGCGCUAGGAUUCAGGUCGGCUUAAGGCCGCCAGAACCCGUAGCAAGCCUGCUAUACUCUCUGUGUACCUGUAAAUCUCAUACAUGAUCAUACAUUUUCUGUGAAAAUAAAAACUCUUUUCUGAACUAAGGCUUAACCUGUGCAUGCACUAUCUCUGUACUCUGUACUCUGUACCCCUGACUAGAGCUUGCUCUAGAUGGGUUAUCUCAUACCUGUUAAGCCUGGUUUUUCACAUACUCUGUAAAGCAUAUACAUACUAGAUCAUGUACAUAACAAAAGAUUACAACACAAACCACUACGUCAAGCACAACUGUAACUGAUUACACAACUAGUGCAUCUCUUUAAUAUUACAUGUCCACUCUAAGCUAUUACAUAUCUCUUUUCUCUUUUUGUACUCUUCUGGAUUCCCCCUCUGUACACUGUACACUGAACCUGCAAGACCGGGGUUAAGGGAGUGGGAUGAGCUCUAUAGCCCAGUGAGUAGAACAGUAAAACAUAUCGUUUAACACAUGAUCUUAUGAAAUGCAUCAUAACACAGACAAUCCACAUCAAGGGUAAACCUGUCACCACAUAGUCUCAAUAACACUGCCGUGCCAGGGCGUAGAAUCGAGCACCUGGUCUUCCUGUCAUAUAUGUAUACGUGUAUAUAACACCUGUACUUACCAUUGCCAGGGCAUAGUCAAAGGCUCCUGGUCUUUACUAUACCUGCCAGGGCGUAGUCAAAGGCUCCUAGUCUUAGCUAUACUUGCUAGGGCAUAGUUAAAGGCUCCUGGUCUUAACUCAAAGACUAUUGGAUCAUUCAGCAUUCACCCACAUCAACAAUUAACUAUGCAAUGCAACAUAUUCGUGGAUUCUAAUGCAAUCAACCUAUUGCAUAAUCAUGAUGCAUGAGAUAUGCUAAAAACAUUCCAUUGCUCAAUUAAAAGAAUUAAGUUUAGUUCCACUCACAUCUGGCUAUCUGGACUGACUGACUCUGCAGGCUCUGUAAACUCUGGAGCAGUACUCACUGCUGCUCUCUCUGGUUCCUCUGGUCUGUGCCUACACAUAUGGACUCAAAUGAGGGACCAAACUAGCUUAAGAAUAACUCUAUUAAACUCCCCAAGAAUCCCCUUAAACUCACUCAAACAUUCAUGCAAAACAUGCAAAGGAAAGCUGGACAGAACACUUUCGGCGGCAGGUUCGGCGGCCGAAAGUCCUCUCCAGAGACGAAACUCAAGCACCUUCGGCGGCCGAAUCCCAACUUUCGGCAGCCGAACCCUUUCGGGGGCUAGUUUUGGGGGCUGAAAGGCACUCUAGAGACGAAAGUCUCUAACCUUCGGCGGCCGAACUCCCCUCCAGAGCAGAAAGUCCAAAAGCUCGGGGGCAAGCUUGGGCAGCCGAAGUCACCUCCUCAGGGGUUCGGCGGCCGAAUGUUCCUUCGGCUGCCGAACCUGAGUUCAUCAGCAGGGCAGAAACUUGCCCUGCCUCUCGCCAAAUGCACAAAACUCCUUUAAACUCAAACACCUCACUUCCUCAACUUGCAUACACCUAAGUAUAUGCUCAAAGGGGUCAAAAACUACCUAAAAACCCCAACAACACAAAACACAUAACACAUAAACAAGCUUUUCUCACAAAAUCAUUAAAAACUCUCUUUUUAACCUAUUCAUGCAACUCCCUCCAUAAACCCCUUAAAACCAUUAUAAAUCAUAAAAACAAGUUCAGGAUCGUCACUUACCUUUUGAAAUUAAGUAGAUGAAUGAUCCUAACGUGGAGUUUUGAAGCAACUCUCCUUCAAACUCUGCAAAAUUCACAACUUUGUGUUUUUAGCUCAAAACCUUCAAAAUAACAUAAAACUCAAUCAAAUCUUUGCAAGAUUGGAUGAAAACAUGAAAGAAUGCUAAAAAAGGACAGAGUCUCACCUCAGCAAGUGAAAGAAACGGUGAAGUUUAUCCUUUCAACCGACUGAGGGCCAUUUUUAUAGGUGGCUGGCCAGACCACCUUCAGCGGCCACAUGUGAAACUGAAAGCCAUGCAUGUUCGGCGGCUGAACCUCACCUUCGGCGGCCGAACCUCACCUUCGGCGGCCGAACUUGGCUUUUCUGCCUUGGUUCAUUUCUCUUAAAAACUCAUUGCAUUUUCACUUAAACCAUUAAAACAUACUAUAUUAUGUUUUUAGAAAAACAUAAAUCUUACCCUUCUAGAGCAUUCCGACAUCCCGGAUUCCACCGGACGAUAGGAAUUCUGAUGCCGGACUCUAGCCGGGUAUUACAUCUAAGUUCAUUUUAGGUGCUAAAGUUAGAGGGAUUAAUAAUGUUUAGAGAGAUUCCAAACCUUGUAAGCCGAAGAUGGGAUCCAUAUUUAUGUUAGAUAAAGUCACUCAAAGCACGCUAGGAGCUAUCACCACAGAACAGAUUCACAUGACAAGAAUUUAAUAAAUGAGCAAUGCGGUUCUACUCGAGAAAAGGAAUAUUCGAAUAUCUUAAACACCCAAUUCAUCAUCAAGACUUUCCCUUCUCUGGAUGGGUCAAGUCUUAGUAUAAAGUUACCAUUAUCAGGCAUAGUUCAUUGUAUCUCCAUUACGUUUGUAAUCGCGGGAUCACCAACCCAUCAAUGAGCAAUAUCCCUUAUCAAGCAGCCGGCUACAUUAUUGUUGGAUUAUUAGGAAAUAUGAUAUUUAUCUCCAUCUUCUUAUAGUAUAAAAGGAGAACGAUCACAGAGGCAAAAGUACACAAUUCUCUUACACAACUACUCUCAUUCUCUAGGCAAUUCGCCAUAUUCUCUAGUUUAUUAACUUGAGCGUUGGAAUGGCUACCGUGCGCACCCACCACCUCACGUUCUCUUUCUUGCAGGUCCAGUCAAUCACAACAUAGCUCUAUUUUUCAGCCGCAUCAUUUAGUUUCCUUGCCAGAAAAAUCCAUUGAAUCCCUUCUAUUCAUUUGGAUUAAAAUCAAUCUCUUGUUCCUUUUUUAUGAAAAAGAAAUCUCUCUUCUCUAUCUCUUGAAAUGGUCAAGAUCGUACAUGUCAUUGCAGCAUGACUUGAUAAGGGUAAAGAAAAAAUAAGAGCGUAGCAAAAGAUGUCCUGUCAGUUGAACAAGAGCCAUGAGCCAAGCAGGAGGUAAGGUUUAGUCAUAUAGAUAGAUUAGAUUCUUUCAAAACGACCCGCUAGUCGUCAAGAUCCUUCUAAAUAGAUAUGAAGGCAAGUAUUGAUGGAUGCAGGUAGUUCUAUUGAUCUUUUCAUCCUGAAUGUUUUUAACAAGUUAGACUUGGAUAAUAAUAGCCUUGUCAAAGUUUCCUAUCCGUUAGUAGAAUUAGGAGAUAAGACCGUGGCAGUAUUGGGCACCAUCAACCUCCCCCUAAUUCUGGAUGACGAAAAAUAUAGGUGAGAAUUGUAUGUAAAGUUUGCAGUGAUAGAUAUCUCAUUUGUGUACUAUGUGAUACUCAACUGUCCAGUCCUAAACUCCCACGGUAUUGUUAUUAACCUGGGUGCUAUGUGUCUUAAGCUACUAGUUCCAAGGGGAAUAGCUGUGGUCCAAGGUAAUCUGAGGUCAGCCAAAGAAUGUUAUAGACACCCAGCAAAAAGUCUCAGAAAAGCAAUAAUGUCAUGGACUUGCUAGAGAAAUCAGAAUCUCACAUAAAGUCAAAGCCAGUAGACUCGAUAGAGGAGGUCCAGCUAGGUAAGAAACAAAAGGUAAGGUUCGGUAUUGCGUUAACGGGUAAAACAAAGACUCGUUUAAUAGAGUUGCUAAAGUGUCGAGUGACCACUUUUGCUUAGUCUCCAAAAGAUGUAACAGAGGUGGACUCAGCUCUCAUCACUCAUAAGCUGUCUGUUGACAAAGACGUCAAAGCAGUCCAACAAAAGAAAAGAAGGUUUGCACCAGAGAGAUAGCAAGUGAUCAAAGAAGAAGUUGACAAGUUAUUAAGUGCAGGGUUAAUAAAGGAAGUCCAGUACCCCCACAUGGCUCGUCAAUGUGGUCCUGGUGAAGAAGGCUAAUGGGAAAUGGAGAAUGUGCAUGGAUUUUACUAACCUAAGUAAAGCAUGUCCGAAAGAUCAUUACCCGUAGCCAUCUAUUGACUGGUUAGUAGACUCGAUCUCGGAUCAUGUAAUGGUUUCCUUUCUUAAUGCCAUUUCAGGUUAUCACCAAAUCAUGAUGGACAUCAAGGAUGUAGAGAAGACUGCAUUCAUAAUAUAUGAAUGAGUUUUCUGCUAUAAGGUGAUGCCAUUUGGAUUAAAAAAUGCGGGGCGACUUACCAAAUGCUGGUAUUAGACAUUUUUAAAGACAUGGUGGGGUCAACAGUCAAAGUGUACGUGGAUGAAAUGGUGGUAAACAGCCGAUCUUUGGAAGACCAUUCAGAAGAUAUCCAGAAAGUCUUUGACGUACUAGACAAGAUGUGUAUAAAGCUGCACCCUGAAAAUUGCACUUUCGAGAUAAAAGCAGGGAAGUUUUUAGGUUAUAUAAUCUCAUAAAAAUGCAUAAAAGCAAAGCCUGAGAAGAUCAACGCCAUCUAAAACAUGAAAGCACCCAAAACCAUUAAUGAAGUACAAAAGUUAAAUGGGUGAGUCACUGCCAUGGGUCUGUUCAUAUCGUGCUCGACUAAAAGAUGUCUCCCAUUCUUCAAAGCCUUAAAAGACAAAGGUAAUUUUGUAUGGGGAAAGAAUGCGCAGAGGCAUUUGAAAGUCUGAAAACCUUUUUAUCAUCUCUUCCAUUACUAAGCUUGCCUGUCGAAGGUAAGGUUUUAUUUCUAUACUUGUCUGUGAAAUGGGAAACAAUUUACUCGGUACUCAUUUGUGAGAAUAAUGGAGAACAAAGCCCAGUACAUUAUGCCAGCCAAGUCUUGAAAGGGGCAGAGCUGAACUAUCCUCCUCUUGAAAAGUUAGCAUUUGCAGUCCUAAUAUCAGCCACAAAGCUAUGACCAUAUUUCGAGUCACAGACCAUAAAAGUCAGAAUAGAUUAUUCUCUGUGAAAGGUUCUACACAGGCCGGAGCUGUCACAAGCUAGAGCUAUCAGGGCGGCUAUCCACCUGGGUGGUAAUAUUUUCAGCCUUUGAUAUCAGGCACAUUCCAAGAAAGGCCAUGAAAGCCUAAGCAAUAGCCGAUUUUAUCGCAGAAAUGACUAUGCCUUUAGAGUCUUAGGAAUCCUUUGAAUCAACCAUGGAGGAGUGGAAGGUUUGGGCGGAUGGAGCUUGCAGGAUCGGGGGUUCUAGAGUAGAGAUAUUGUUGCAGUCUCAAACUGAUAUAAAGUUUCGAUAUGCAACAAAACUCAUCUUCAAGGCUACCAACAAAAUAGAUAGAGUACGAUGCUGUAAUAAUGGCUCUCAGAAUCAUCAAGGAAUUAGGCAUAUAGAAAUUUGCUAUUUUUAGUAACUCACAAUUGAUUGUUAAUCAAUGCUAGGGACAAUUUAAAGUUUGAGAGUUAAGUAUUGUCAAAUACGAGGAAAAUAUUCAGUCCCUAAUAGAGAGGAUCAAAGAUGGGCAGGGCAGCUGCAAGCUUCACCAGGUGGCCAAAGGUGACAACGAGGAGACAGAUUUUCUAGCCAAAAUGACAGCAACGGGUGAACAACACCUGACUCAACCGUUUUAGUUCGAGGAACUGCACACUCUAGCAACGGACAUGGAAGAGUCUUUUUCUAUAGAGGAGGGGGUAUCAUGGAUGAUACCUAUAUACAAAUUUUUGAUACAAGAUGACCUUCUAGCCAACGAGUUAUUGGCCAAAAAGAUAAUAAGAAAUUCCUUUAAAUAUGCACUGAUUGAUGGCUAGUUGUACAUGAGAUCCUCAACACAGCCAUGGCUGCAUUGUGUUACAGAGGAGGAAGGUCAAGAAAUCUUAAAGGAUAUUCAUUAAGGUGAUUGUGAGAGCCAUGAAGGAGCUUAUAUAAUCGUCUGAAAAGCAUUUAGACAAGGGUAUUACUGGCCGAUAAUAAUGCAAGAUGCGAAGCAACUUGUCCGGAAGUAUCGAAGAUGUCAGGUACAUGUGAACAUCCCAAGGACCCCGGUAGAGAUGCAAGCAGCAAUUGGAAGCCCUUGGCCUUUCUUUUAGUGGAGGAUAGACAUUCUUGGUCCGUUCUUAAAGGCAACCAGGUCAAGAAAAUUCGUAAUCAUAGCAGUAGAUCAUUUCAGCAAGUGGGCCGAGUGAUCAAGUAUAAUUUAGCCACAUUUUUACUAUUAUUAUUAUUGUUGAAUUAUGCAUUUUUCUAGCUUAAUUUAUAUUUUUAUGAUAUUUUCUGCAGAAAAGUUGAAAAAUAGAAACUUAGUGAAAAAUGACUUAAAAUGCUGAGAAAUUAAUUUAGCCGAAGUGAUUUGGCCAAAUACUUCAAAUAGAGGGCAAAUCACUGCGAGAGCUAGAAAGAGUCUAAAUUAAACAAGAAUAUGUGCAUGAAUAAUUAAAUUUCUCUAUUGAGGAAAACAAUUAACAACCACGGUAGGUAAAGAGAAAUAAGGAAAGAAGGAAGUAACCUUGGUGUAUACACUCUUCACUGCAAUACUUCAAAUUAGGGGUCUAGGGUAAGAGCGUAAGUAGAAAUAAAGGAUCAAGUAGCAAAGAGAGCUUGUUUGACUAAGUUUAUUUGCUUGAGGACAAGCAAAGGGCUAGGUGUGGGGGUAUUUAAUCAAGCCAAAAUUAGUCCCAUUUUUCAUAUUGUUAUUAAUGUUACAUUACACACUUUCUACUUAAUUUUGUGAUCUUUAUCUUAUUUUCCAAAAAAUGGUGUAAAAGGAUGAUUUGAUGAAAAAUGGCCUUAAAACUAUCCAAAGAGAGAAGAAAAGGUCAAGCCUGGUUUGCCCAAGUCAGUUUGCCCAAACCAAGCUGCAGCUGAAAUGGGAGAAGGAUGAAGAACAACACAGACUUGCUGUUUGACCAGAUUGUUUGCCUAAGCAACCUGGGCAAACAGACCCCGCGGAAUAGAAGCAGAGUGACAGACAAUACCAAAACAGACUGUUUAACCAGAUUGUUUGCCCAAACAAUCUGGACAAAUAGAACUUGCAACAGCAGAUAGCAGAAAUGUGGGAGACUUAAAAUUUAAACCUCCAAGAAGUCUAUCCUUACCCAAACACGUGAAGACAACUCAGCAACUCUUCAAGACAGCUCAACACCCUAUCCCACUUAUCAAGGAAGCUAAAUCUCAAGAAGAUUCAAUUGCCUAAAGAAUCCAAACUCCAAAUAGAAAAAAAAAAUCCAUCAAAUCAAGGAAACCUAAGGCAGCAUGUACAACUAUAAAUAAAGGGGCCAAACCAGCAACAAAGGACACAUAACAUCAUCUCCGGAAUUUAGCACCAGUAGCUGCGCACACCAACAGCCGCCCGGCUGACCCUUCCUCUUCUUCUUUUUGCUUUCUUUCUUGAUUUUUGUGUUAGUUUCAGCCAUGAGUGGUUGAACCUCUCUUUCUAGUUGAAGAUUAGGUGAAACUUCAGUUUGUUUAUGGAUUGGGAGAUCUGAACAUAUUAUGUUAUUCUUUUAUUUAUCAAUAUUUAUGCAAUUUCAUGCUUAAUUCCAUUAUUGCUUUGUUGUUUAGAUCAAUAGGGCCCAUUGAUUCUUGAUUGUAAAGUGAUAAUUUGUUAGUUUGAAUAGUUUGAAGUUCGUAAUUGCUUGCAUUAUUCAAACAUAAGUGACUCUUAGUGUAAAAAUAAGGAGAUUGCAUAAUCUAGCAAGAUCACCAUAUGUUUGGAUAGCUAGAAUUAGGUCUCUCUAUUUCUUAAUGCAAUUGAUAGUUGAAUGAAUCUAAAGUCCCAAGGACAUUCCUUGGUAACUUGUUGAUUAGUGAUUAGUUAGAUAACGCUUUCUAGUUAAUCUAUGCUUAAGGAGGGACAUGGUGGUGAGAAGCGUCUUCCACCCCCGCAACUAAUUUAUUGAGUCAGAUAAAAGAACCUAAGUGUCAAUGAUCAAUCUCAACAACUGAAGUGGAUCCAAUUCUUCAACUAGAUUUUUCUCAUUAUUGAAUUCUCUUUACUUUAUUAUUUGCUUUGCGUUAUAAUUUUAAUCUAGUUCAUCAAUCUCAAAACCCCCUUUUUAUUUUAUUGUAUAUUUUUUACUUGGUCAUUGAUAGGAAGAUAGGUAGGUAUCAAUCCCCUGUGGAUUCGAUUCUUUUACCACUAUCUACAGUUGUAAAAUUGUGGAUAACCAAAAAAUUUAUUUUUGACCGGCUUCGACAACCGCACAGUCACUGGCAAAGUCUUUAAGGUCAAUGGCUACUGUUUGAAGCCAUAUUAUGAAGGAUUUGUUGUGCACCUUGUGAAAGAGGUUCUCUUGGAUCCUUAUUCCCCAUCUUGUUGAUCAAAGCAAGACAGUCCAGCCCACGACAAAAAACUAGGGCGCUAUUGGGAGGUAGCCCAGCUGAAGGGAUUUGCCCAAAUCACUGUGCAAAUCAACUUACUGUACCAUAGCCGCGAGUGAUUGGGGCAAGUGAUUUGCCCAAAUCGAUGGGAAAAUCAGCAGAUUUUGACAAUCGCAGAGAAGUCGUGACCAGGGCCAAUUGAGCGAUUACAACAAGGAUGUGAUUUGGCCAAGUGAUUUGCCUAAAUCCCUGACCAAAUCACCACCCCAUAAUUCAGAAACUCAGCAUUUAAUGAUCAGGGCAGUUCAACUUCCCCAUAUCACUUUAAAUAGUUUUUCUUUUUCUUUUCCUUUUUAUUGACACUACUCCUGUUUGCCUCAUCUCCUUCCUUCUUCCUCAAGUCUUCCUUCUGAUGAUUCCUUCCGACAACACCUUCCAACAUGGUCCGAACAAAGAUGGUGGCCACCUCCAACCCAGGCAAAUGGCGGCAGCUAGGUCUGCCGAGACCAAUAUGUGUUCCAACCGACAGCGAUGAGGAACCCAUCACCAACCCUCCUCUCGUCAUUGACAUCACCACUGACACAGGUUCAACAGAAGAAAUGGCGACUCGGACCGCUACGCUGCCCUUCACCCACACUUAUUGUUGACGGACAAGGGCAUCGACAAUGGCACCACCAUCCGAGACACAAACGGUAGAGACAAACACUCAUCUAGCCGCAAUGCUACCAGCAGAAACCCCUUCAGCUAGUCAUGGCCAUAAACGCCUGACGACCAUGACUUCAUCACCGUAAAUGAACAUGAUCGCGGUUGUCAAAGCCGGUCAAAAAUAACCUUUCUGGUUAUCAAUAAUUUACAACUACAGAUAGUGGUGAAAGGAUCGAAUCCACAGAGAAUUGAAAACUUACCUAUCUUCCUUGCCAAGACUAAUAAAAUAAACUGAAACAAAAAUAAACUGAAAAAGAAGAAAACUGAAAACGAGAUAAACUGAAAUGAGAUAAAACAGAAAUGAGAUAAAACUGAAACAAGAUAAAACGGAAAUGAGAUAAAACUGAAAGCAAACAGACUGAAAGUAAAAUGGGGGUUUUGAGAUUGAUUCAGCUAAACUAAUAAUGAAAGCAAUAAAAUAGGCAAAUAAUAAAAAUAAAGAGAAAUCAAUAAUAAAAAAAAGGCUCUAGUUGAAUAAUCGGAUUCACUUCUGUUGUUGGGAUUGAUCAUUGACACUUAGUUUCUUUUGAUUGAUUCAAUAGAUUGGAUAUGGAGAUGGAAAAUGUUUCUCACCACCAUGUCUCUCCUUAUGAUUAAACCAAUUAGGAAAUGUCCUCUAAUUAAUUACUAAUUAACAAAUUGCCAAGG